Molecule: long non-coding RNA, 715 nt
Filed under: Vigna radiata
Lineage: Eukaryota; Viridiplantae; Streptophyta; Magnoliopsida; Fabales; Fabaceae
Description: long non-coding RNA (VRAD_LNC009910)
Source: RNAcentral
AAUAUGUAUGAUACGUGUUGUUUAGGAACCUUACUCACUCACACAUUGACGACAAUGUGCCUCUUAAGUGUGGGGGUGGGAAGGUAUAGGUUAAAUUUUUGUUUUGAUGUAAAUAUAGCUUUGCUAGCAUCUGUUGUUGAGUAAAAUAGGGGUAAAUUUUUUUUUUCUCUCCUGAACUGUCCUUCCUUUAGCUAGAUUUGGUUUGUUUUUCUUUUGUAAAUACUUAGUGUAGAUUGCUAUUGUUGUUCGAAUCUAUAAAUACUUUUCCUAAUCUGUUUUAGUUUGUAAAUAGGAAUUAGUUUAGUUUUCUAGUUUUUUUUGUUAUGAGUUCUUAGAUCUUUAUAGUUCAUUCUUUUUCUUGUUCAAAUUGUUUUAAGUUUAGGUUCUUUUACUUUUAAGUCUGUUUUAGAAAUUCUUUUAGGUUUCCUCUUUCUUUUCCUAUUUCCUAAUUUCUUUUCCUUCUUUUAGUUUCUUGUUCUGUUGCAGCUUCUUUAGUAGUUCUUUUAGUUUGUUUUCAUUCUUUUAGAUUCUGUUUCAACUGUUAAUAUAAAUUUCUUUAGGAUUCCCUGCUUUAAAAUUCUUUUCAUUACUUACGUUCUGUUUUUAGACUUUGGUUAGAACUUCCUUUAGGUUUUUCUUGUUUUAGGUUUUUCUUCCUUAUACCAUUUUGUUUUACUUGGUUUAGAUUGUAUAUAGAUGUUAUGUCUCUGUUUCU